GUCUAUGGCCAUGCCACCCUAAACAUGCCCGAUCUCAUCUGAUCUCGGAAGGUAAGCAGGGUCGGGCCUGGUUAGUACUUGGAUAGGAGACCACCUAGAAAGACCAGGUGCUGUAGGUG
This 119-nucleotide ribosomal RNA is filed under the name Pteropus alecto (black flying fox). Lineage: Eukaryota; Metazoa; Chordata; Mammalia; Chiroptera; Pteropodidae. The record is from RNAcentral.